RNAcentral lists this ribosomal RNA (327 nucleotides) under Triticum aestivum (bread wheat). RNAcentral's name for it is "partial small subunit ribosomal RNA". Lineage: Eukaryota; Viridiplantae; Streptophyta; Magnoliopsida; Poales; Poaceae. The record is from RNAcentral.
AUGACAUUCCAUUCCACUUUGUUCUCAAACCAAACACACCCUAAGAUGGCUCAUUUCAUCCCAUGCCGCAAGACAACGGAUGCUCAUUAUGUGGCAAACCUAUUCUUUCGAGAAGUGGUCAGACUUCAUGGAGUUCCAAGGUCCAUUGUCUCAGACCGUGAUAGCAAGUUUCUUGCUGCAUUUUGGCUCACUUUGUGGAAGCAAUUCAACACUGAAUUGAAAUUUUCUAGCACUGCUCAUCCACAAAUAGAUGGACAAACGGAAAUGGUGAACACGUUUUUGGGUAAUCUGAUCCGUUGCAUUUGUGGAGAAAGAAAGGGACAAUGA